UAACGUCAAGAGAAUGGGUUUUGGUGCAUC
RNAcentral lists this non-coding RNA (30 nucleotides) under Mus musculus (house mouse). The record is from RNAcentral. Lineage: Eukaryota; Metazoa; Chordata; Mammalia; Rodentia; Muridae.